This 571-nucleotide ribosomal RNA is filed under the name uncultured bacterium. RNAcentral describes it as "bacterial SSU rRNA". It matches the Rfam family "Bacterial small subunit ribosomal RNA", at positions 69 to 637 of the family's 1533-position model. The record is from RNAcentral.
GUACAGAGGGUGUUGCCUUGCUGACGACCGGCGCACGGGUGCGUAACGCGUAUGCAACCUACCUUCUACAGGGGGAUAGCCCAGAGAAAUUUGGAAUAAUACCCCAUACGAUCAUUGAUUGGCAUCGAUCAAUGAGGAAAACUCAGGUGGUAGAAGAUGGGCAUGCGUCCUAUUAGUUAGUUGGUGAGGUAACGGCUCACCAAGACGUCGAUAGGUAGGGGCCCUGAGAGGGGGAUCCCCCACACUGGUACUGAGACACGGACCAGACUCCUACGGGAGGCAGCAGUGAGGAAUAUUGGACAAUGGGGGCAACCCUGAUCCAGCCAUGCCGCGUGCAGGAAGACUGCCCUAUGGGUUGUAAACUGCUUUUAUACAGGAAGAAACUGUGCUACGUGUAGUGCACUGACGGUACUGUAAGAAUAAGGAUCGGCUAACUCCGUGCCAGCAGCCGCGGUAAUACGGAGGAUCCAAGCGUUAUCCGGAAUCAUUGGGUUUAAAGGGUCCGUAGGUGGUUAAUUAAGUCAGAGGUGAAAGCCAGCAGCUCAAUUGUUGAACUGCCUUCGAUACUGAU